Molecule: unclassified non-coding RNA, 439 nt
Filed under: Hevea brasiliensis (rubber tree)
Lineage: Eukaryota; Viridiplantae; Streptophyta; Magnoliopsida; Malpighiales; Euphorbiaceae
Source: RNAcentral
AGAACCUGCUAUUCUGUCAGUUGAGGGUAGGGGAUUUAAUGUGGAGAUAUUCUAUGUUGAUGAUCCUGUUUCUGAUUACGUUCAGUCUGCUGUUUCAACAGUGAUGUCGAUCCAUGACCAGGAGCGGAUGGGAGAUAUCCUGGUGUUUCUCACUGGUCAAGAUGAUAUUGAUACUGCAAUACAAUUGCUCACUGAAGAAGCCCAAAGUAGUGGCAAGCAAGGACUGGUUUCUGUGCCACUAUACUCGGGACUUCCUCGAGCAGAUCAGGACCUUGUGUUUUCCCCUACUCCCAGAGGAAAGAGAAAAGUGAUAUUUUCCACAAAUAUUGCUGAGACGUCAUUGACUCUAGAAGGUAUUGUCUAUGUUGUUGAUAGCGGGUUCUCAAAACAACGUUUCUACAAUCCGAUUUCAGAUAUUGAGAACUUGGUAGUGGCACCA